RNAcentral lists this ribosomal RNA (498 nucleotides) under uncultured bacterium. RNAcentral describes it as "partial 16S ribosomal RNA". It matches the Rfam family "Bacterial small subunit ribosomal RNA", at positions 28 to 507 of the family's 1533-position model. The record is from RNAcentral.
GAUGAACGCUGGCGGCGUGCCUAAUACAUGCAAGUCGAGCGAACAGACGAGGAGCUUGCUCCUUUGACGUUAGCGGCGGACGGGUGAGUAACACGUGGGUAACCUACCUAUAAGACUGGGAUAACUUCGGGAAACCGGAGCUAAUACCGGAUAAUAUUUCGAACCGCAUGGUUCGAUAGUGAAAGAUGGCUUUGCUAUCACUUAUAGAUGGACCUGCGCCGUAUUAGCUAGUUGGUAAGGUAGCGGCUUACCAAGGCAACGAUACGUAGCCGACCUGAGAGGGUGAUCGGCCACACUGGAACUGAGACACGGUCCAGACUCCUACGGGAGGCAGCAGUAGGGAAUCUUCGGCAAUGGACGGAAGUCUGACCGAGCAACGCCGCGUGAGUGAAGAAGGUUUUCGGAUCGUAAAGCUCUGUUGUAAGAGAAGAACGAGUGUGAGAGUGGAAAGUUCACACUGUGACGGUAGCUUACCAGAAAGGGACGGCUAACUACGUG